GACGAACGCUGGCGGCGCGCUUAACACAUGCAAGUCGAACGGAAAGGCCUGCUUUCCCUUGUGGAUUGCGGGUACUCGAGUGGCGAACGGGUGAGUAACACGUGAGUGAUCUGCCCCCAACUUGGGUAUAAGCCUGGGAAACUGGGUCUAAUUCCCGAUAGGACUGCAGGGUGGUGCCUGUGGUGGAAAACGAUUUUCUAGUGGUUGGGGAUGAGCUCGCGGCCUAUCAGCUUGGUGGUGGGGUAAUGGCCUACCAAGGCGGCGACGGGUAGCCGGACUGAGAGGGUGGACGGCCACAUUGGGACUGAGAUACGGCCCAGACUCCUACGGGAGGCAGCAGUGGGGACUAUUGCACAAUGGGCGGAAGCCUGAUGCAGCGACGCCGCGUGGGGGAUGACGGCCUUCGGGUUGUAAACUCCUUUCGACCGCGAGGAAGCCACCUGGUUGGAAGGGUGGUGACGGUAGUGGUAGAAGAAGCACCGGCUAACUACGUG
Molecule: ribosomal RNA, 494 nt
Filed under: uncultured bacterium
Lineage: Bacteria
Description: partial 16S ribosomal RNA
Rfam family: Bacterial small subunit ribosomal RNA
Source: RNAcentral